Molecule: small nucleolar RNA, 221 nt
Organism: Epinephelus lanceolatus (giant grouper)
Lineage: Eukaryota; Metazoa; Chordata; Actinopteri; Perciformes; Serranidae
Product: small nucleolar RNA U3
Source: RefSeq, a predicted model, not a curated record
CAGUGCAAACUCGUCUUUUCAAUUCCACAUAUUCCGUUUCUGACUUGAGAAAUGUGUUUCUAAAGCGUCUGGUCUCGUUAACCACGAUGAUGAGUUGUGAUAUUCCCUUCUGAACAUGAAGCUGACAGAGAAUAAUGAUUCAGGUCAUAUGUUCUCUGUCAUUGAUGAUUGUUCUUUGCUUCUCUGUGGAGCAUUGAUGAAGGGAAUAUGAUCAGAGUGGC